UUUUGUUUUCUUGCCGCACAAGCUUUUGCCACCGCUGUUGCGCUACUUGACGCGGCUCCUUGGUUGUCAAUAUCAAUUCAACCCGCGAAAACUGCCACCGCCUUGAUUCGUUUCCGUUUGAUGGACAUAAAACUUAAAUAAUUUUUCUCUGUUCCGCAAAUAAGGUACCAAUUCGACCUCUUGUCUUGUCUGAUUCGUUUAUGGAUGUCGCCUACUCGUGGAAGGCAAAUUGUUUUGCUUUGCUUACUUAUAAGGUAAUCUGGGAUUUCAGUGAGCGUUAGGAAGUUGAUGACCAAGAUUUUUUAUUUCAGUAAUGUAAUAAAUGUCAUUAGGAUCUUUUUAUUUAAUGUUAUGGAUUAGUUUUAGUUUUGAUAUCUAUAAGAGUGACACGUCAGCCUUAGCGGGUUUGGGGUGUUACACAAUCGAUCAGCUGGUCGAUCGGCUGGUCACCUGGUCGAUCAGUCACUUGGUUUGAGUGUUCGGCGUGACGAGUUUUGCUGUUUUGAUUGCGAUUGUGAGCGUUGCGAUGCGAUAGAGUUUCCUAUUCAAAUUACUUUUAAUUCCAACUACUAUAUCUAACAUACA
Molecule: long non-coding RNA, 585 nt
Filed under: Helianthus annuus (common sunflower)
Lineage: Eukaryota; Viridiplantae; Streptophyta; Magnoliopsida; Asterales; Asteraceae
Source: RNAcentral